CAGCCGCUUUGCCUGAUGUAUUUCAAAUGUUCAAGUAAGAAGCUGCCAGCUAUCAAGACCACAGAAAAUGCAAGGUGAACAUAUUUUCAAAACCAGGAGGGAAAAUAAUUCCAUGGCAUUGAUGAAAGAAAGAAAUAUCAUCAGCAUCUCACAAGCCACUAGGAAGCUUCGUGUCCAUCUCUGCUUGGGAAUUCUAGAAGCUAUGGUCCAAAGACACAGAUUGGAGAAAAGGGGGGCCAAACCUGGAAGACAAUGACUGAAAGAACCUCUCAAGUUGACAUCACAAAACAAUGCAAUACUGUCCUGUGAUUGGCUGAAUG
Non-coding RNA from Pogona vitticeps (central bearded dragon), 320 nucleotides. The record is from RefSeq and is a predicted model, not a curated record. NCBI's taxonomy places the organism in Eukaryota, Metazoa, Chordata, Lepidosauria, Squamata, Agamidae.